This 477-nucleotide ribosomal RNA is filed under the name soil bacterium 13V-07. RNAcentral's name for it is "bacterial SSU rRNA". It matches the Rfam family "Bacterial small subunit ribosomal RNA", at positions 27 to 484 of the family's 1533-position model. The record is from RNAcentral.
GGAUGAACGCUGGCGGCGUGCCUAAUACAUGCAAGUCGAGCGAAUGGAUUGAGAGCUUGCUCUCAAGAAGUUAGCGGCGGACGGGUGAGUAACACGUGGGUAACCUGCCCAUAAGACUGGGAUAACUCCGGGAAACCGGGGCUAAUACCGGAUAACAUUUUGAACUGCAUGGUUCGAAAUUGAAAGGCGGCUUCGGCUGUCACUUAUGGAUGGACCCGCGUCGCAUUAGCUAGUUGGUGAGGUAACGGCUCACCAAGGCAACGAUGCGUAGCCGACCUGAGAGGGUGAUCGGCCACACUGGGACUGAGACACGGCCCAGACUCCUACGGGAGGCAGCAGUAGGGAAUCUUCCGCAAUGGACGAAAGUCUGACGGAGCAACGCCGCGUGAGUGAUGAAGGCUUUCGGGUCGUAAAACUCUGUUGUUAGGGAAGAACAAGUGCUAGUUGAAUAAGCUGGCACCUUGACGGUACCUAACC